Grus americana (Whooping crane) is the source of this 1945-nucleotide long non-coding RNA. RefSeq lists it as uncharacterized. Lineage: Eukaryota; Metazoa; Chordata; Aves; Gruiformes; Gruidae. The transcript is spliced from 9 exons. The record is from RefSeq and is a predicted model, not a curated record.
CAAGGAAGCCGUGUCAGUGGGAACAUCCUGAACCUAAUGCAAUGGCAAUUUGGAAGAACGCUGCAGAAGAAGGAGGAUGCAUGGAUGAGCAAAUGGAUUUCUGGCCUCCAUAAAUAGCAAAAGACUCUGAAAUUGCACCCAUUGGAGCUAGAGACAACGGACGAGCUGAAACUGUGCUGUUUGCAUAUGGGGAAUAUGCAGCUGACUCCCUCCGGCCAUUCAGAAGGUGGAAAAAUCCUGGUGUUGAACAAGGUGGAGAUUGAGGGCCUCACAUGUCACCUAAUCUAGCUGGCUGGGCUGGCUGGCACGACAGCAAAUUGUAUUUCCGCUCCAAGAAGUAUAGAAGGUGAUUGCCUAGUGAGAUCUGCUCUCUACAGACCUACAGCAAUUCUUCCAGAGGCCUCCUCUCCAAAUGUGGAAUAAUUUUGUAAGGGAUUGACGGCGAUUGCCAAAAUCUCUCUGCCCUGAAGCUAGCAAGACAAACAGACAGACAAACAGCCAGGAAUAGUACAGAAGAGCGGUGCUCGGGCCCAGGGGAGCACACGCCAGCGCACCCCUAAGCGCACCUCAGUGCUGGGAGAGCACAGCCCUCCCAUACACGCACACACCACGCUCCACCGAGACGCUCCAUUUCAGCCAGUGUUGGAGGUCAAUCCUUCCUCUCGAUACUGGAAACGUUUCCGUUUCUCCUCUGGAUCUGACCCGAAGUCCCGGGACCCGAUGCCAUUCUGAAGAUUUAUUAGUGAAUCCUUCAUCUGCAAGACAAGAAAUUUCUCCACUGUGAUGCUGCCCUAGAGCGUGUCAGGGCUGGGAUGUACAAAUGGGGACUGAGAAGAUGGGAGCCCUUGAGAGACCAUUCUCCAAGAGAAUAGAGAAGGGGUGAGCAGAACGAGGUACAGGGUAAGCAGCUCUCCAGGGGGGCGAGCAGCUUUCAUUUCUGAACUCCGUUCUGAGCAGCCCGGUGUACAACCAACCAGCUCUUUAGGCAGUGGAUACCGAAACCCCUAGCUUUGUGCUAUUUACGGGCCCACGCAGAGUGCGUCCCCUUCAUCCACGUAAGCUACGUAUGAAUCCAGGGUUUGCUUUCCAAACCGGGGUGCCAGAGACUAGAUGCAAGAUGUGCUAAUAUGAGGUUUUUGGCCCUGUAGAAUUCUCUCCUUGACGCGUGUGAACCCCUGUGAGGUGACAGAGAAGCUGCGGCAUCCUGCAAAUAGCCCUCGGGACCUGCCACCCACCACUAACAUCAGAAGACAGAUCUACAGGGAGAUGGUAGCAGAGGUGACGCACCCACUGGACUACAGUGGAACCAGGUAUGUGCAGUAUCCAUCCCCUCCCCUCAGGCCCAAUUAACCCUCCAGACCAGGGCUGGAGGCUGCUGAGUGGAGCAGAAUCAGAGCAGAUGCAAGCACUGAUGGGAGGAUCAUCAGGACUGGCUGCCCCGAGGUGCCACCCCAGGGCAGGUGCCAGCGGCGAGCCUGGCGAGGAAGUGGAGCUUGGCUGGACCCAGCCCAGGAUAAAUCUCAGUCGAGCAGAGCGAUGCAAGGAGCGGAGCAACGACGAGCGGAGUCAAGGCACUUAGCACCGGCAGUUGGCAUCAGCAGGAAGGCGCGGCAAGUGGCACCCCACUCUGCCCGUUUCUCCUGAGAGAGGCUACAGUGGAGAUUUUCAAGCCUCCUUUAUGGAGGUCUCUGCGUUAGUGAGAGCUCAUCUGCAGCCAGAACUCACUUCUGGGAAAUCAUCUCUAAACGGUCCAGCUUCUGCCUGACAUGGUAUCGCUCGUCAAAAUCGCCACCUAGGACCAGACCUGAAUAGCUUUUGCCAGACCAGAGGAAAGAAGUAACAGACGGCUCCUCACACACACUGAGCCCUGUUGUGAUAGCACAGUACCUCCCUCCCAGAGAGCUCUGCACGGUCAUCUUUCAUGAUAACAGCUAGUUUGUCAGCA